Molecule: ribosomal RNA, 440 nt
Filed under: uncultured bacterium
Lineage: Bacteria
Description: bacterial SSU rRNA
Rfam family: Bacterial small subunit ribosomal RNA
Source: RNAcentral
CCUACGGGCGGCAGCAGUGGGGGAUAUUGCACAAUGGGGGAAACCCUGAUGCAGCAACGCCGCGUGAAGGAAGAAGGUCUUCGGAUUGUAAACUUUUGUCCUCAGUGAAGAUAAUGACGGUAGCUGAGGAGGAAGCUCCGGCUAACUACGUGCCAGCAGCCGCGGUAAUACGUAGGGAGCGAGCGUUGUCCGGAUUUACUGGGUGUAAAGGGUGCGUAGGCGGACUGGCAAGUCAGUGGUGAAAACUAUGGGCUUAACCCAUAGACUGCCAUUGAAACUGUUGGUCUUGAGUGAAGUAGAGGUAGGCGGAAUUCCCGGUGUAGCGGUGAAAUGCGUAGAGAUCGGGAGGAACACCAGUGGCGAAGGCGGCCUACUGGGCUUUAACUGACGCUGAGGCACGAAAGUGUGGGUAGCAAACAGGAUUAGAUACCCUGGUAGUC